UGUUGUGGCAGCAAUUAUGUUCAACUACAAGAAAGUUAAGGAUUAUAUGCAUUCUUAUUACUUGAAGCCACAAUAUCCGAAGGCUUAUGAGCCCGAUGUUCAGCCUGUACCUGAAAUGCACCCUCAUUCAAUGAAGACCUCCUGAAAGUCCCAAGAAAGCUAGAAGAAAGGAGGUUGAUAAGGUAAAAAACAAUAAGAGGAUUAGGAGGCAAGGUACUUCACUGUGAUAUGGUAAUUGUUUAGAGUGGGGUCAUAACUCCAAAACAUGUAAGUGUCCUAAGAAGGUGAGGGUUAAGAAAGUUGUUUCACCUAAAAAGGGACUAGGAGGUAGCAAUAAGGGGAAAAGGAGGUGCAGGAGGCAACAGCAAGGAGCAGAAAGAUGCAGGAGGUGGCCAAGAUCCUCACAAUAACCUAGAUAUGUAAGUCAAUAUAUCGAUUACCAAUUAAGUUUUGUCAGUCUCAGGUUUAUUAAUGUUACUAUUACCAGUUUGAAGUUUAUCUUUUUGAUUGAUGGUACCGAAGCUAGUCAGAGUCACAGGCCAAAUAGAUUUUUCUCACUUAUAAACACACUGCUCAAAAUGGUAUAGUAAUGGCUACUAUAGCAUCUAUACAGUAUUUAGUGUACAGUGGCAUGAUAUACACACUAUUUAGCAAUAAAUUUUUAGCAAGUUGUGGUAGAUUUUUGGAAUCAUGGAUUCAUAUGCAUCUGAUAGUGCUUCCAUGAUGCACUUGGAGAUGUAUAGAGCUCCUAGAUGAGGUUCCAGGUUGUGAUGUUUCACUAUAUUAAGCCAACCUGCGACCACUAGCAACUCCCAUAGCCAACAGCCAAAAAG
This 833-nucleotide long non-coding RNA is filed under the name Phoenix dactylifera (date palm). RNAcentral's name for it is "long non-coding RNA (PDAC_LNC004561)". Lineage: Eukaryota; Viridiplantae; Streptophyta; Magnoliopsida; Arecales; Arecaceae. The record is from RNAcentral.